GCAGAUUUGGGGGUAGUUUUACUCAGGGACGGCAGGUUUAAGGGCAGUUUUACUUGUUGAGGGCAGGUUUUUUUUUUUUUUUUUACUUGGGGAGGGCAACUUUGGGAGUAGUUUUAAUGAGAGCAGGUUUGGGGCUGGUUUUACUUUGAGGGCAGAUUUGGGGGUAGUUUUACUCAGGGACGGCAGGUUUAAGGGCAGUUUUACUUGUUGAGGGCAGGUUUUGGGCUGUCUUUUACUUGGUGAGGAUAGAUUUGGGGCAGUUUUACUUGAUGAGGACAAGCUUUGGGCUAUUUUUUACUUGAUGGGGGUAGAUUUGGGGGCAGUUUUAUUCGUUGAGGGCAGGUUUAGGGGCAGUUUCACUUGUUGAGGGCAUUUUUUGGGCUUUUUUUACUUGGUGAGGGCAGGUUUGAGGCAGUUUUACUUGGUAAGGGUAGAUUUGGGGGCAGUUUUACCCAGGGAGAGCAGGUUUAAGGGUACUUUUACUUGAAAAGGGCAGGUUUGGGGGUAGUUUUUCUAGGUAAGUGUCAAUUAGGAGUGAAAUUUUGGCCCUUUUUUUUUUUUUUUUUAAUCCAGGGGAGGGCAGGUUUGAGGCAGUUUUACUUGGUAAGGGUAGAUUUGGGGGCAGUUUUACCCAGGGAGAGCAGGUUUAAGGGUACUUUUACUCGAAAAGGGCAGGUUUUGGGGUAGUUUUACUUGGUAAGGCUAGUUUAGGGGGCAGUUUUACCUGGGGAGGACAGGUUUUGGGCUGUUUUUUUUACCAGCUCCAUUAAGUUAUGUGAACUUGUU
Amphiprion ocellaris (clown anemonefish) is the source of this 786-nucleotide long non-coding RNA. The record is from Ensembl. Lineage: Eukaryota; Metazoa; Chordata; Actinopteri; Pomacentridae.